CCCUUAGAUGUUCGGGGCCGCACGCGCGCUACACUGAAGGAAUCAGCACGUCUUUCUCCUUGUCCGAAAGGACUGGGUAACCCGCUGAACCUCCUUCGUGCUAGGGAUUGGGGCUUGUAAUUCUUCCCCAUGAACGAGGAAUUCCCAGUAAGCGCGAGUCACAAGCUCGCGUUGAUUACGUCCCUGCCCUUUGUACACACCGCCCGUCGCUACUACCGAUUGGAUGGUUUAGUGAGAUCCUCGGAUUGGUCCCGGCGCGGCCUCUGGUCGUGCCGGAGUGCCGAAAAGAAUGUCGAACUUGAUCAUCUAGAGGAAGUAAAAGUCGUAACA
This 330-nucleotide ribosomal RNA is filed under the name uncultured eukaryote. RNAcentral's name for it is "partial 18S ribosomal RNA". It matches the Rfam family "Eukaryotic small subunit ribosomal RNA", at positions 1470 to 1796 of the family's 1831-position model. The record is from RNAcentral.